This 84-nucleotide transfer RNA is filed under the name Rhipicephalus microplus (southern cattle tick). RNAcentral's name for it is "tRNA-Leu". It matches the Rfam family "tRNA". From Rfam's summary of the family: Transfer RNA (tRNA) molecules are approximately 80 nucleotides in length. Their secondary structure includes four short double-helical elements and three loops (D, anti-codon, and T loops). Lineage: Eukaryota; Metazoa; Arthropoda; Arachnida; Ixodida; Ixodidae. The record is from Rfam by way of RNAcentral.
GUCAGGAUGGCCGAGCGGUCCAAGGCGCUGCGUUCAGGUCGCAGUCCGGGCUUCCGGGCGUAGGUUUGAAUCCCACUUCUGACA